RNAcentral lists this ribosomal RNA (81 nucleotides) under Pogona vitticeps (central bearded dragon). The record is from RNAcentral. Lineage: Eukaryota; Metazoa; Chordata; Lepidosauria; Squamata; Agamidae.
AUCAUACCACCCUUUUUGAAGCUCAGCAGGGUUGGUCCUGGUUAGAACAUGGAUGGGAGGCCACCUGGGAAUACCAGGAAU